UAAGUAGACGCCCAUACCGCAAACCGACACAGGUGGACAGGAAGAGAAUUCUAAGGCCAGCGGGAGAAGGGUAGUUAAGGAACUCGGCAAAUUGACUCCGUAACUUCGGAAUAAGGAGUGCUCGAAAGAGCCGCAGAGAAUAGGCCCAGGCGACUGUUUAGCAAAAACACAGGUCUCUGCCAAAUCGAAAGAUGAAGUAUAGGGGCUGACACCUGCCCGGUGCCGGAAGGUUAAGAGGAGGAGUGCAAGCUCCGAAUUGAAGCCCCGGUAAACGGCGGCCGUAACAAUAACGGUCCUAAGGUAGCGAAAUUCCUUGUCGGGUAAGUUCCGACCCGCACGAAUGGUGUAACGAUCUGGGCACUGUCUCAACUACCCACCCGGCGAAAUUGUAGUACCGGUGAAGAUGCCGGUUACCUGCGGCAAGACGGAAAGACCCCAUGGAGCUUUACUGUAGCCUGAUAUUGGGUUUCGGAAAUCUAUGUACAGGAUAGGCGGGAGACUGGGAAGUAUGAGCGUCAGCUUAUACGGAGUCAUUGUUGGGAUACCGCCCUUAGGUUUCUGGAAUUCUAACCUGCGACCGUGAAUCCGGUCGGGGGACAUUGUCAGGUGGGCAGUUUGACUGGGGCGGUCGCCUCCGAAAAGGUAACGGAGGCGCUCAAAGGUUGGCUCAGCACGGACGGAAACCGUGCCUCUGAGUGUAAACGCAAAAGCCAGCCUAACUGCGAGGAUGACGGUCCGAGCAGUAACGAAAGUUGGAGUUAGUGAUCCGGCGGUAUGUGAAUGGAAAUGCCGUCGCUCAACGGAUAAAAGCUACCCUGGGGAUAACAGGCUGAUCUCCCCCAAGAGUCCACAUCGACGGGGAGGUUUGGCACCUCGAUGUCGGCUCAUCACAUCCUGGGGCUGUAUUCGGUCCCAAGGGUUCGGCUGUUCGCCGAUUAAAGUGGUACGCGAGCUGGGUUCAGAACGUCGCGAGACAGUUCGGUCCCUAUCUGUCGCGGGCGCAGGAUAUUUGAGGAGCUCUGUCCUUAGUACGGGAGGACCGUGAUGGACGUACCUCUGUUGCACCAGUUGUCAUGCCAAUGGCACGGCUGGGCAGCUACGUACGGAACGGAUAAACGCUGAAAGCAUCUAAGCGUGAAGCCGACUCCAAGAUUAGAUAUCCCAUUGCAUAAGCAAGUAAGACCCCUUGAGGACUACGAGGUUGAUAGGCUGCGUGUGUAAGUGUCGUGAGGCAUUUAGCUUGGCAGUACUAAUAGGUCGAGGGCUUGACC
This 1271-nucleotide ribosomal RNA is filed under the name metagenome. RNAcentral's name for it is "bacterial LSU rRNA". It matches the Rfam family "Bacterial large subunit ribosomal RNA", at positions 1631 to 2925 of the family's 2925-position model. The record is from RNAcentral.